Molecule: ribosomal RNA, 448 nt
Filed under: uncultured bacterium
Lineage: Bacteria
Description: bacterial SSU rRNA
Rfam family: Bacterial small subunit ribosomal RNA
Source: RNAcentral
AGCGAACGCUGGCGGCAGGCUUAACACAUGCAAGUCGAGCGGGCGUAGCAAUACGUCAGCGGCAGACGGGUGAGUAACGCGUGGGAACAUACCUUUUGGUUCGGAACAACACAGGGAAACUUGUGCUAAUACCGGAUAAGCCCUUACGGGGAAAGAUUUAUCGCCGAAAGAUUGGCCCGCGUCUGAUUAGCUAGUUGGUGAGGUAACGGCUCACCAAGGCGACGAUCAGUAGCUGGCUGAGAGGAUGAUCAGCCACAUUGGGACUGAGACACGGCCCAAACUCCUACGGGAGGCAGCAGUGGGGAAUAUUGGACAAUGGGCGCAAGCCUGAUCCAGCCAUGCCGCGUGAGUGAUGAAGGCCCUAGGGUUGUAAAGCUCUUUUGUGCGGGAAGAUAAUGACGGUACCGCAAGAAUAAGCCCCGGCUAACUUCGUGCCAGCCGCCGCCGU